Molecule: long non-coding RNA, 437 nt
Filed under: Canis lupus familiaris (dog)
Lineage: Eukaryota; Metazoa; Chordata; Mammalia; Carnivora; Canidae
Description: lncRNA (ENSCAFG00040000824.1)
Source: RNAcentral
CCCAGGACGAGAGCAGCCAACUAAAGAGCUUCUGGAUGUGGCAUUGUAAAAGAUAAGAAAAGAAUCCCAUUGAAUGGCUAGCAAGCAGAAGAAUGCAUGUCAGCUCCUUCUGUGAAUACCUAAGGAAUGGAAUGGCAGCCCUGCCCCCCAACUUCACAGACAAUACAAGUACUCACAAGUUUCUAGAAAGUGUGUACAGCAUCCACAUAGUCCUGAGGGAAGUUGGGUGCAGUUUACACCAUUACAAUAAAAUUGGAAAGAGAAGAGAGAAGUAUGAGCUCACUCCACUGCCUGUCUCCAGGGAGAGGUUACAGUGCAAAAGGUCACCUUGGGCGAUUGAAAAGGAAAGCAUUCUUAUGCAUCCAGAUUCAUUUAUUUUUUGGCUUGAAUUUGUAGCAGAGAAAAAGCACCAAUUCCCCACUGUUUCCUGUUCGUAG